Molecule: ribosomal RNA, 541 nt
Filed under: uncultured bacterium
Lineage: Bacteria
Description: bacterial SSU rRNA
Rfam family: Bacterial small subunit ribosomal RNA
Source: RNAcentral
CUACGGGAAGCAGCAGUGGGGAAUAUUGCACAAUGGGGGAAACCCUGAUGCAGCCAUGCCGCGUGUAUGAAGAAGGCCUUCGGGUUGUAAAGUACUUUCAGUUGUGAGGAAGGCGUAUGCGUUAAUAGCGUAUGUGUUUGACGUUAGCAACAGAAGAAGCACCGGCUAACUCCGUGCCAGCAGCCGCGGUAAUACGGAGGGUGCGAGCGUUAAUCGGAAUUACUGGGCGUAAAGCGCAUGCAGGCGGCUUGUUAAGCCAGAUGUGAAAGCCCGGGGCUCAACCUCGGAAUAGCAUUUGGAACUGGCAGGCUAGAGUCUUGUAGAGGGGGGUAGAAUUUCAGGUGUAGCGGUGAAAUGCGUAGAGAUCUGAAGGAAUACCGGUGGCGAAGGCGGCCCCCUGGACAAAGACUGACGCUCAGAUGCGAAAGCGUGGGGAGCAAACAGGAUUAGAUACCCUGGUAGUCCACGCCGUAAACGAUGUCUACUUGGAGGUUGGGACCUUGAGUCCUGGCUUCGGAGCUAACGCGUAAGUGACCGCUGU